Molecule: unclassified non-coding RNA, 454 nt
Filed under: uncultured fungus
Lineage: Eukaryota; Fungi
Description: sequence contains ITS1, 5.8S rRNA gene, ITS2 and 28S rRNA gene
Rfam family: 5.8S ribosomal RNA (bases 212-366)
Source: RNAcentral
GGAAGGAUCAUUACAGAAUCGUCAACGGGUUGUUGCUGGUCCUCGAACGGGGACAUGUGCACGCUCUGUUUACACAUCCACUCACACCUGUGCACCCUCCGUAGUUCUGUGGUCUGGGGGACCCUGUCUUCCUGCCGUGGUUCUACGUCUUUACACACACACUGUAAUAAAGUCUUAUGGAAUGUAUGCCGCGUCUAACGCAAUACAAUACAACUUUCAGCAACGGAUCUCUUGGCUCUCGCAUCGAUGAAGAACGCAGCGAAAUGCGAUAAGUAAUGUGAAUUGCAGAAUUCAGUGAAUCAUCGAAUCUUUGAACGCACCUUGCGCCCCUUGGCUAUUCCGAGGGGCAUGCCUGUUUGAGUAUCAUGAACACCUCAACUCUCAUGGUUCGCCGUGAUGAGCUUGGACUCUGGGGGUUUUGCUGGCCUGCGGUCGGCUCCCCUCAAAUGAAUCA